RNAcentral lists this ribosomal RNA (253 nucleotides) under uncultured bacterium. Its description in RNAcentral is "partial 16S ribosomal RNA". It matches the Rfam family "Bacterial small subunit ribosomal RNA", at positions 524 to 776 of the family's 1533-position model. The record is from RNAcentral.
UACGUAGGGUGCAAGCGUUAUCCGGAAUUAUUGGGCGUAAAGAGCUCGUAGGCGGUUUGUCGCGUCUGCUGUGAAAACUGGAGGCUCAACCUCCAGCCUGCAGUGGGUACGGGCAGACUAGAGUGCGGUAGGGGAGAUUGGAAUUCCUGGUGUAGCGGUGGAAUGCGCAGAUAUCAGGAGGAACACCGAUGGCGAAGGCGGGUCUCUGGGCCGUAACUGACGCUGAGGAGCGAAAGCAUGGGGAGCGAACAGG